This 457-nucleotide ribosomal RNA is filed under the name uncultured bacterium. RNAcentral's name for it is "SSU rRNA". It matches the Rfam family "Bacterial small subunit ribosomal RNA", at positions 26 to 518 of the family's 1533-position model. The record is from RNAcentral.
AGAAUCAACGCUGGCGGCGUGCCUAACACAUGCAAGUCGAACGAGAAAGGGGAGCAAUCCCUGAGUAAAGUGGCGCACGGGUGAGUAACACGUGACUAACCUACCCUGGAGUGGGGGAUAACUGAGGGAAACCUUAGCUAAUACCGCAUAACACCUACGGGUCAAAGGAGCAAUUCGCUUUGGGAGGGGGUCGCGGCCGAUUAGUUAGUUGGCGGGGUAAUGGCCCACCAAGACAGUGAUCGGUAUCCGGCCUGAGAGGGCGCACGGACACACUGGAACUGAAACACGGUCCAGACUCCUACGGGAGGCAGCAGUGGGAAUUUUGCGCAAUGGGGAAACCCUGACGCAGCAACGCCGCGUGGAGGAUGAAGUACUUCGGUACGUAAACUCCUUUCGAUCGGGACGAUAAUGACGGUACCGGAAGAAGAAGCCCGGCUAACUUCGCGCCAGCAGCCGC